RNAcentral lists this long non-coding RNA (724 nucleotides) under Papio anubis (olive baboon). RNAcentral's name for it is "lncRNA (ENSPANG00000040366.1)". The record is from RNAcentral. Lineage: Eukaryota; Metazoa; Chordata; Mammalia; Primates; Cercopithecidae.
GAAUAAUCACAAGAUACAGUUAGAUACUUCUGUUUCUGAUUUAAUAGAUUGUAUAUACUUACAUAUACUAAUUGUAUGCUAUUAGAAAUGUGAUUUAUCACUCGUCCAAAAUUUACAAACUCCAGAGAGUAAGGCACUAGAAUGUAGUUUUUAUUUAUAUCUAGUAAGCAUCAAACUUAUAACUCUGAUUCUUAUCCAAAGUUUUUUUUAAAAAAAUUGUAACUAAAGCAACAUAAUCAGCAUGUGAUGACAAAGGUGUGAUAAAGGAGAAUAAAGAGGAAAGGAAAGGAAAAAUACUUAAUUUAUUAUAAUCUGAACUAUUAGAGGAAAUUUGUGGAUGAAAAAGUAGAAGAAAAACAUAGUCUACUUUUAAUAGUACCUGAUAAACCUUCACUCCUAUCCCUGAAAUAAUUUAUUUCUUUUUCUUUGUCUUCAUACCCCCUCUACCUCAUCAGAUUUGUCAAGAAUUCCAAAACUGAAACAGUAUGAUAUAAUAGUGGUCAUUUCUGUGAGGAGUCAAAAACAGUGAUGAGUGGUCUGGCUCCUCUUUUGUGUGCACAGUUACAAGCUUCCCAAUAUCAAACUUAAGUUUCGAAGUUGUCUUUCCUGAUGCCUGGCUUUUGGAUGCUACAGAAGGCUCCCAGAGUGUCCAAAAGAGAGGUAAACAAGAUUAUUUGAUGUGUUUGGAUACAUGAGAUUGCCAAAAUGGUGUUCAAUCUUCUUU